GAAAUGCGAUAAGUAAUGUGAAUUGCAGAAUUCAGUGAAUCAUCGAAUCUUUGAACGCACAUUGCGCCCUCUGGUAUUCCGGGGGGCAUGCCUGUUCGAGCGUCACAAAAACCUUCCUCACACUCUGUUGUGGUCAUGGCGGGUGUGCAUCGAGGCCUUUGCCAAAGCACACCGCUGAAAUCGAUUGGCGGACCGUCCUUGGGACUUGAUGUAGUAAGAUUUAUUUUCUCGUCAUGAACCCCUUGGGAAAGCUGUCCCGCCGUUGAACCCCCAAUACUUCUAUAGGUUGACCUCGGAUCAGGUAGGGAUACCCGCUGAACUUAA
This 324-nucleotide unclassified non-coding RNA is filed under the name uncultured fungus. RNAcentral describes it as "sequence contains ITS1". The stretch from base 1 to 105 matches the Rfam family "5.8S ribosomal RNA", at positions 50 to 154 of the family's 154-position model. Lineage: Eukaryota; Fungi. The record is from RNAcentral.